CCCAGACUGACCUUCCUGCCAACCCGCCGGGCAGCAGAUGCUGUGCCCCUGCCCUGGCCUUGAGUCACGGCAGCAGGAGACAGGAGGCAGGGGCACGGGCAGGCCCAGACCCCUCCCACCUCGGUGAUCGAUGGGGGCUGAGAGUCACCUGCCCUGUGCCCCCAGCUGGGGUCCCUCUGGCCUGGGUCUCUGCUUAAGGGCCAUAUCUGUCAUGGUUAGCUAUUUGGAGACAAGUUGCACUGUUGUGCAGCUGGGAGUGAGGGGUCCCCUGGAGCUCAGCUGGGCCCCUGCCCCAGGGGAAGGGCGGGGCCCAGCUCCAGGCUUUUGUCCUGUGGCUCUCCUGGGGGGACAUUUUCAGGGAAUGUAAACCCACGGAGACUCAGGAUGUUCCUGCCAGCUGCAGAGGGUGAUGGGGUCCACUAGGGGCCCAGGCUCCUUCUUGCAGGGCGUCAGGUAUCCCCCACAGUGAGGUCAGGGCUGGGAUGCCUAGUCACUUGCUGGCCCCUGCUCCUAGCUCCAUCUGGGCCUGCUGUGUGAUGUGACCAGACUCCGGAGCCCCCAGGUGGGCAACGGAGCCCUCUGCGUGCAUCUCCUGAUGUGACGGUCAGUCCCCUCGGAGUAGCUGCUCUUAACCACCCCAGCUUCAUGGAUGAGAGGUUGAGGAUCAGAGAGGCCAGCUGCACGGGGUGACAUGGCCCUGUCCCUGCCAGGUGACACCACUGGUCAGGAAAGCUCUUGCUGCCACCUCACAGGGCCGAGGAUUCCCUGACCUGCAUCCCAAUCCAGGAGGGCACUGCCCCACGCUCUCCAGUCAACACUGACCCUGGUGUCCUCAGCCAGGUCCCAGCUCCAGCUCCAUGAAAUCGAGCUCUGGAAGGAGCUGGGGAGGUUACUGGGUCCCCCAGGAGGCUGGCACAGACUGGGGGUCUCCCCCUCCCCGGGCUGCUCAGAGCCCCCUCCUGGCCCACCCAGCUGGAGGGACGCAGCCCAGCCCGUGGGAGGCCUGCUCCGGGAAUUCCCCAGACCUGGCACCAGGCUCCGCUGCCCGGGCCGUGCUGUGUCCAGGGCGCUCGGGCCCUCCUGUCUCUGACAGCUGCGGGGUGGCCUGUGGGGAGCGAUGGGGCCACCUCAGGUCUCUUACUCAGUACCUCCUCAGAGAGGUCUUCCCUGACCACCCACCCACACAGCCCUUCAUGUGGCCAUGACCCUUCGACCCCCCCCCCCGGGCUGGGUGCAGCUCGGAGGCAGAGUACCCGCCUGACCCGAAGACUGCAUAAGGACACAGACCACACCCUUCCAGCAGGCACUGCUGACCACCUCGGCCAACGCAAGCUCCGCAACGUAGCGGGCGGCCUGCACCCUGUGGGUUGAGCGACAGCCCUGGC
Molecule: long non-coding RNA, 1385 nt
Filed under: Marmota monax (woodchuck)
Lineage: Eukaryota; Metazoa; Chordata; Mammalia; Rodentia; Sciuridae
Source: RNAcentral